GAUGAACGCUGGCGGCGUGCUUAACACAUGCAAGUCGAACGAAGCACUUACGGAAGAAUCCUUCGGGAGGAAGCUGUUAGUGACUGAGUGGCGGACGGGUGAGUAACGCGUGGGUAACCUGCCUUAUACAGGGGGAUAACAGCCAGAAAUGGCUGCUAAUACCGCAUAAGCGCACAGUACCGCAUGGUAGAGUGUGAAAAACUCCGGUGGUAUAAGAUGGACCCGCGUCUGAUUAGCURGUUGGUGGGGUAACGGCCCACCAAGGCGACGAUCAGUAGCCGACUUGAGAGAGUGAUCGGCCACAUUGGGACUGAGACACGGCCCAAACUCCUACGGGAGGCAGCAGUGGGGAAUAUUGCACAAUGGGGGAAACCCUGAUGCAGCGACGCCGCGUGAGUGAAGAAGUAAUUCGUUAUGUAAAGCUCUAUCAGCAGGGAAGAUAAUGACGGUACCUGACUAAGAAGCUCCGGCUAAAUACGUGCCAGCAGCCGCGGUAAUACGUAUGGAGCAAGCGUUAUC
This 519-nucleotide ribosomal RNA is filed under the name uncultured bacterium. RNAcentral's name for it is "bacterial SSU rRNA". It matches the Rfam family "Bacterial small subunit ribosomal RNA", at positions 28 to 545 of the family's 1533-position model. The record is from RNAcentral.